AAAAACAUCGCCUCUUGAUGAAUUAUAAGAGGUCUAGCCUGCCCAGUGAAAUAUUUAACGGCCGCGGUACCCUGACCGUGCGAAGGUAGCAUAAUCACUUGUUCUUUAAAUAGGGACUAGUAUCAACGGCACCACGAGGAUUACACUGUCUCCUUUCUCCAAUCAGUGAAACUGAUCUUCCCGUGAAGAAGCGGGGAUAUAACUAUAAGACGAGAAGACCCCAUGGAGCUUUAAAUUUCACAGCAACUCAGUCAAAUAAACCCUUAUAAGUCACAGAACUAUGCAUAACAAUUUUAGGUUGGGGUGACCGCGGAGUAAAAAUUAACCUCCACGACGAAUAGAACUAAACCUUUAUCCAAGAGCCACAACUCUAAGAAUUAGCACACUAACGAUUAAUGACCCGAUAAUCGAUCAACGGACCAAGUUACCCUGGGGAUAACAGCGCAAUCUACUUCAAGAGUCCAUAUCGACAAGUAGGCUUACGACCUCGAUGUUGGAUCAGGGUAUCCUAGUGGUGCAGCCGCUACUAAUGGUUCGUUUGUUCAACGAUUAAAACCCUACGUGAUCUGAGUUCCAGACCGGA
RNAcentral lists this ribosomal RNA (583 nucleotides) under Zhangixalus chenfui (Chinese whipping frog). RNAcentral's name for it is "partial 16S ribosomal RNA". It matches the Rfam family "Bacterial large subunit ribosomal RNA", at positions 1809 to 2620 of the family's 2925-position model. Lineage: Eukaryota; Metazoa; Chordata; Amphibia; Anura; Rhacophoridae. The record is from RNAcentral.